This 253-nucleotide ribosomal RNA is filed under the name uncultured bacterium. RNAcentral's name for it is "partial 16S ribosomal RNA". It matches the Rfam family "Bacterial small subunit ribosomal RNA", at positions 524 to 776 of the family's 1533-position model. The record is from RNAcentral.
UACGUAGGGACCGAGCGUUGUCCGGAAUCAUUGGGUGUAAAGGGUCCGCAGGCGGAUGUGUAAGUCGGAGGUGAAAUCUUCCCGCUCAACGGGAAAACUGCUUUCGAUACUGCACGUCUUGAGUACGGGAGAGGGUGGUGGAAUUCCUGGUGUAGCGGUGAAAUGCGUAGAUAUCAGGGAGAACACCGGUAGCGAAGGCGGCCACCUGGCCCGUUACUGACGCUCAGGGACGAAAGCGUGGGGAGCAAACAGG